Molecule: unclassified non-coding RNA, 339 nt
Filed under: soil metagenome
Description: partial contains 5.8S ribosomal RNA, internal transcribed spacer 2, and large subunit ribosomal RNA
Rfam family: 5.8S ribosomal RNA (bases 1-120)
Source: RNAcentral
GAUGAAGAACGUAGCGAAAUGCGAUAAUUAAUGUGAAUUGCAGAAUUCCGUGAAUCAUCGAGUUUUUGAACGCAUAUUGCGCCCCUUGGUAUUCCGAGGGGCAUGCCUGUCCGAGCGUCAUUGCAACCCUUCAAGCACGGCUUGUGUGUUGGACGGCCGCCCCGGUGUGGGCGGGUCCCAAAUGCAGUGGCGGCGCCGCGAUCCGGGUGCUCGAGUGCAUGGAAACCACGCGCUCGUUAGGCCCCGUCGGGCGCCGGCCGACCUAAUUAUCUUCGUUCUGGUUGACCUCGGAUCAGGUAGGAAUACCCGCUGAACUUAAGCAUAUCAAUAAGCGGAGGA